GCCCGAGUGGUGGAAUUGGUAGACACUACAGACUUAAAAUCUGUUGACGGUAACGUCGUGCCGGUUCGACCCCGGCCUCGGGCA
This 84-nucleotide transfer RNA is filed under the name Magnetofaba australis IT-1. It matches the Rfam family "tRNA". From Rfam's summary of the family: Transfer RNA (tRNA) molecules are approximately 80 nucleotides in length. The record is from Rfam by way of RNAcentral. Lineage: Bacteria; Pseudomonadati; Pseudomonadota; Magnetococcia; Magnetococcales; Magnetococcaceae.